Molecule: ribosomal RNA, 798 nt
Filed under: uncultured bacterium
Lineage: Bacteria
Description: bacterial SSU rRNA
Rfam family: Bacterial small subunit ribosomal RNA
Source: RNAcentral
UCCGGGGCUUAACUCCGGGCGUGCAGGCGAUACGGGCAUAACUUGAGUACUGUAGGGGUAACUGGAAUUCCUGGUGUAGCGGUGAAAUGCGCAGAUAUCAGGAGGAACACCGAUGGCGAAGGCAGGUUACUGGGCAGUUACUGACGCUGAGGAGCGAAAGCAUGGGUAGCGAACAGGAUUAGAUACCCUGGUAGUCCAUGCCGUAAACGGUGGGCGCUAGGUGUGAGGGUCUUUUCACGACUUUCGUGCCGUAGCUAACGCAUUAAGCGCCCCGCCUGGGGAGUACGGCCGCAAGGCUAAAACUCAAAGGAAUUGACGGGGGCCCGCACAAGCGGCGGAGCAUGUGGAUUAAUUCGAUGCAACGCGAAGAACCUUACCUGGGCUUGACAUACACUGGAUCGGGCUAGAGAUAGUCUUUCCCUUUGUGGCUGGUGUACAGGUGGUGCAUGGUUGUCGUCAGCUCGUGUCGUGAGAUGUUGGGUUAAGUCCCGCAACGAGCGCAACCCUUGUCUUAUGUUGCCAGCAUUUGGUUGGGGACUCAUGAGAGACUGCCGGGGUCAACUCGGAGGAAGGUGGGGAUGACGUCAAAUCAUCAUGCCCCUUAUGUCCAGGGCUUCACACAUGCUACAAUGGUCGGUACAACGCGCAGCGACACUGUGAGGUGGAGCGAAUCGCUGAAAGCCGGCCUUAGUUCGGAUUGGGGUCUGCAACUCGACCCCAUGAAGUCGGAGUCGCUAGUAAUCGCAGAUCAGCAAUGCUGCGGUGAAUACGUUCCCGGGCCUUGUACACACCGCCCGU